Trichomycterus rosablanca is the source of this 203-nucleotide small nucleolar RNA. RefSeq annotates it as small nucleolar RNA U3. The record is from RefSeq and is a predicted model, not a curated record. Lineage: Eukaryota; Metazoa; Chordata; Actinopteri; Siluriformes; Trichomycteridae. The transcript has a single exon.
AAGACUAUACUUUCAGGAAUCAUUUCUAUAGUUACUGACUAAGAAAUGUGAUUUGAAAGUGUUACGUCUCUUUAACCAUGAUGAUGAGCUGUGAUGUUUCUUUCUGAGCAUGAAUCAGAUGGAGAGGAAUGAUUUAUUCAUCUGCUCUUCAUCAUUAAUUAAUGUUCUGACAGUUGAGAAGAGUGAAACAUGUUUAGAGUGGU